GAUGAACGCUGGCGGCGUGCCUAAUACAUGCAAGUCGAGCGAACGGACGAGAAGCUUGCUUCUCUGAUGUUAGCGGCGGACGGGUGAGUAACACGUGGAUAACCUACCUAUAAGACUGGGAUAACUUCGGGAAACCGGAGCUAAUACCGGAUAAUAUUUUGAACCGCAUGGUUCAAAAGUGAAAGACGGUCUUGCUGUCACUUAUAGAUGGAUCCGCGCUUCAUUCGCUAGUUGGUAAGGUAACGGCUUACCAAGGCAACGAUGCAUAGCCGACCUGAGAGGGUGAUCGGCCACACUGUAACUGAGACACGGUCCAGACUCCUACGGGAGGCAGCAGUAGGGAAUCUUCCGCAAUGGGCGAAAGCCUGACGUAGCAACGCCGCGUGAGUGAUGAAGGUCUUCGGAUCGUAAAACGCUGUUAUUAGUGAAGAACAUAUGUGUAAGUAACUGUGCACAUCUUGACGGUACCUAAUCAGAAAGCCACGGCUAACUACGUG
Molecule: ribosomal RNA, 497 nt
Filed under: uncultured bacterium
Lineage: Bacteria
Description: partial 16S ribosomal RNA
Rfam family: Bacterial small subunit ribosomal RNA
Source: RNAcentral